UACGUAGGGCGCAAGCGUUGUCCGGAAUUAUUGGGCGUAAAGAGCUCGUAGGCGGCCUGUUACGUCUGCUGUGAAAUCCCGGGGCUUAACCCCGGGCGUGCAGUGGAUACGGGCAGGCUGGAGGCAGGCAGGGGAGAACGGAAUUCCCGGUGUAGCGGUGAAAUGCGUAGAUAUCAAGUGGAACACCAGUGGCGAAGGCGAGUCUCUGGACAUUUCCUGACGCUGAGGCACGAAAGCCAGGGGAGCAAACGGG
Molecule: ribosomal RNA, 253 nt
Filed under: uncultured bacterium
Lineage: Bacteria
Description: partial 16S ribosomal RNA
Rfam family: Bacterial small subunit ribosomal RNA
Source: RNAcentral